Molecule: ribosomal RNA, 500 nt
Filed under: uncultured Lachnospiraceae bacterium
Lineage: Bacteria; Bacillati; Bacillota; Clostridia; Lachnospirales; Lachnospiraceae
Description: partial 16S ribosomal RNA
Source: RNAcentral
CACGUAUUUAGCCGGUGCUUCUUAGUCAGGUACCGUCAUUUUCUUCCCUGCUGAUAGGGCUUUACAUACCGAAAUACUUCUUCACCCACGCGGCGUCGCUGCAUCAGGGUUUCCCCCAUUGUGCAAUAUUCCCCACUGCUGCCUCCCGUAGGAGUUUGGGCCGUGUCUCAGUCCCAAUGUGGCCGGUCGCCCUCUCAGGCCGGCUACUGAUCGUCGGUUUGGUGGGCUGUUACCCCGCCAACUGCCUAAUCAGACGCGGGCCCAUCCCAUACCGCUAAUGCUUUCCAUCCAGGGGCAUGCGCCCCGCAUGUACAUGCGGUAUUAGCAGCCGUUUCCGGCUGUUAUCCCCCUGUAUGGGGCAGGUUACCCACGCGUUACUCACCCGUCCGCCACUCAGUCAAAGGCGCUUCCUCCCCGAAGGGAUUCCGCUCCAGUGCUUCGUUCGACUUGCAUGUGUUAAGCACGCCGCCAGCGUUCAUCCUGAGCCAGGAUCAAACUCU